RNAcentral lists this ribosomal RNA (253 nucleotides) under uncultured bacterium. Its description in RNAcentral is "partial 16S ribosomal RNA". It matches the Rfam family "Bacterial small subunit ribosomal RNA", at positions 524 to 776 of the family's 1533-position model. The record is from RNAcentral.
UACGUAGGGGGUUAGCGUUGUCCGGAAUCAUUGGGCGUAAAGAGCGUGUAGGCGGUCCGGUAAGUCCGCUGUGAAAGUCGGGGGCUCAACCCUCGAAUGCCGGUGGAUACUGUCGGGCUAGAGUGCGGAAGAGGCGAGUGGAAUUCCUGGUGUAGCGGUGAAAUGCGCAGAUAUCAGGAGGAACACCUAUUGCGAAGGCAGCUCGCUGGGACGUAACUGACGCUGAGACGCGAAAGCGUGGGGAGCAAACAGG